Molecule: ribosomal RNA, 462 nt
Filed under: uncultured bacterium
Lineage: Bacteria
Description: partial 16S ribosomal RNA
Rfam family: Bacterial small subunit ribosomal RNA
Source: RNAcentral
GACGAACGCUGGCGGCGUGCUUAACACAUGCAAGUCGAACGGAAAGGCCCUUCGGGGUACUCGAGUGGCGAACGGGUGAGUAACACGUGGGUGAUCUGCCCUGCACUUUGGGAUAAGCCUGGGAAACUGGGUCUAAUACCGAAUAGGACCGCGCGCUUCAUGGUGUGUGGUGGAAAGCUUUUGCGGUGUGGGAUGGGCCCGCGGCCUAUCAGCUUGUUGGUGGGGUAAUGGCCUACCAAGGCGACGACGGGUAGCCGGCCUGAGAGGGUGACCGGCCACACUGGGACUGAGAUACGGCCCAGACUCCUACGGGAGGCAGCAGUGGGGAAUAUUGCACAAUGGGCGCAAGCCUGAUGCAGCGACGCCGCGUGAGGGAUGACGGCCUUCGGGUUGUAAACCUCUUUCACCAGGGACGAUGCGCAAGUGACGGUACCUGGAGAAGAAGCACCGGCCAACUACGUG